This 350-nucleotide ribosomal RNA is filed under the name uncultured eukaryote. Its description in RNAcentral is "partial small subunit ribosomal RNA". It matches the Rfam family "Eukaryotic small subunit ribosomal RNA", at positions 567 to 811 of the family's 1831-position model. The record is from RNAcentral.
CCAGCAGCUGCGGUAAUUCCAGCUCCAAUAGCGUAUAUAAAAGUUGUUGCAGUUAAAAAGCUCGUAGUUGGACUUGGGAGUCGUUUUCAUAGUGGUCGUGGCCCGCCGAGAAGGCGUGUGCUGCGCCGCCGGCUCCUAUUCCUUCUGGAGUCCCGCCUCUGCCCUUCACUGGGUGGGGGUUCCGGUGGGGAAACCCAUCGGGCGCCGGGCGUGGAUGUGCGUGCGGGAUGUGAGGCGGGCAACCGUCUCUGCCCGUGCGCAGCCGCGUUCGGUUGGGGGCCCAGAUCGUUUACUGUGAGUAAAUGAGAGUGUUUAAAGCAGGCAGGUGUUCGCCUGAAUCCGUUAGCAUG